UGGGGAAUAUUGCGCAAUGGGCGGAAGCCUGACGCAGCGACGCCGCGUGGGGGAUGAAGGCCUUCGGGUUGUAAACCUCUUUCAGCGGGGACGAAGCCGGGGGCCGCUUUGGUGGUCUCGGGUGACGGUACCCGCAGAAGAAGCGCCGGCUAACUACGUGCCAGCAGCCGCGGUAAUACGUAGGGCGCAAGCGUUGUCCGGAAUUAUUGGGCGUAAAGAGCUCGUAGGUGGUUUGUCGCGUCUGUCGUGAAAGCCCAUGGCUUAACUGUGGGUCGGCGGUGGAUACGGGCAGGCUAGAGGCAGGUAGGGGAGAACGGAAUUCCCGGUGUAGCGGUGAAAUGCGCAGAUAUCGGGAGGAACACCGGUGGCGAAGGCGGUUCUCUGGGCCUGUACUGACGCUGAGGAGCGAAAGCGUGGGGAGCGAACAGG
Molecule: ribosomal RNA, 429 nt
Filed under: uncultured bacterium
Lineage: Bacteria
Description: bacterial SSU rRNA
Rfam family: Bacterial small subunit ribosomal RNA
Source: RNAcentral